This 429-nucleotide ribosomal RNA is filed under the name Chloroflexota bacterium. RNAcentral describes it as "Chloroflexi bacterium partial 16S ribosomal RNA". It matches the Rfam family "Bacterial small subunit ribosomal RNA", at positions 355 to 776 of the family's 1533-position model. Lineage: Bacteria; Bacillati; Chloroflexota. The record is from RNAcentral.
UGGGGAAUAUUGCACAAUGGGCGCAAGCCUGAUGCAGCCAUGCCGCGCGUAUGAAGAAGGCCUUCGGGUUGUAAAGUAUUUUCAGCGGGGAGGAAGGGAGUAAAGUUAAUACCUUUGCUCAUUGACGUUACCCGCAGAAGAAGCACCGGCUAACUCCGUGCCAGCAGCCGCGGUAAUACGGAGGGUGCAAGCGUUAAUCGGAAUUACUGGGCGUAAAGCGCACGCAGGCGGUUUGUUAAGUCAGAUGUGAAAUCCCCGGGCUCAACCUGGGAACUACAUCUGAUACUGGCAAGCUUGAGUCUCGUAGAGGGGGGUAGGAUUCCAGGUGUGGCGGUGAAAUGCGUAGCGAUCUGGGGGAAUACCGGUGGCGAAGGCAGCCCCCUGGACGAAGACUGACGCUCAGGUGCGAAAGCGUGGGGAGCAAGCAGG